Dreissena polymorpha is the source of this 1781-nucleotide long non-coding RNA. RefSeq lists it as uncharacterized. The record is from RefSeq and is a predicted model, not a curated record. The transcript has 4 exons. NCBI's taxonomy places the organism in Eukaryota, Metazoa, Mollusca, Bivalvia, Myida, Dreissenidae.
AUGUUUGCUUGUUUUUAUUAAUUUUGAAGUGUUGUGUAACCGGUGAAACCGGCGUAAAUAGUAAAAGCUCUGCCUAGCAACGUCACUAUCAAAAAAUGGCGACGCGGAACGCUCGUUACUACACGAAGAAAAUUAAAAAAAAAACCAAAAUAAUCCAGAUUUAUUGAAAUUUGGGAUAACAGUGAAGAAACAAAAGCUUUCUACAGAAGGCCGCGAGGCAGGCGAUACGGCAAUUGUACCCAAGAGCGACCGUUAAGGGCUGCGUGUUCCAUGGAACCAACGUGUGUACAGGAAGGUGGUAAAUGAGGGUCUCGCAACAGCUUAUGGGGCAAAUGGCGACAAGUUCCUCUUCUUGAGGAAACUUAUGUCCUUGCCGUAUCUACCGAGCGAACACAUCAUUUCUGCCUUCGAACAGAUGAUGGUACAGGCUGAAGAGGUUGGCGGUCCUCUUCUGAAUGUCGUCAAUUACGUUGAGCGCGCGUGGAUCCGGGGAUCCAUGUGUAAGCCGGAAAACUGAGGCGUCUAUAGACAAACAAAUGGGACUAACAACGAUGUUGAAGGCUGGCAUCGAAUAAUCCAUACGCAAGCCGGGCGUGCUGACGUUUGGAUUCUACAUGCUUUUUUGAUUAAAUUUUUAUGUUUUAUAUGCAAAUAUUUAUGCUUGGUGUAAUAUUGUUUGGAAAUAAAUGUAUGUGGUGCGUAAAGGUAAGUAUAUUAUUGUACCGUGUAUUGAGUAUAUUUAUAUUUGAUUAUGUUUUAUAUGCAAAUAUUUAUUUUUGGUGUAAUAUUACUUGCAAAUAAAUGUGUGUUGUGUAAAGGUAAGUAUAUAUAUUAUACUGUUUAUUGAGUAGAUUUGUAUUUGAUUGUAUCUUAAUGUUUUAUAUGCAAACUUUUUUUGGUGUAAUAUUGCUUGCAAAUAAAUAAAUAAAUGUAUGUGUUGUGUAAAGGUAAGUAUAUUAUUAUACCGUUUAUUAAGUAGAUUUUUUUGUUAAUGUAUUGUGUAAUAUUGUGUUGUAUUUGAAUAAAUGUUUUUUGUGAAUCAUAAUCAACAUUGUAUUAUGGUAUUUAAUUGCAUGUGUAUACUAACUAAACACUUCAAUUUAUCGAAUUUAACAGAAAAGAAAAAAACAUGUUGAUUGAUAACAGAAGAAAGGUGUCAAUCAAAGGUGCUAAAGUUUCCCGAUAUUGUUCACACCUAUAUAUUACCAUUGUUAAUAACCCUCUACCCGUUUUCUACAGUAAAUUCAGUGUGGCGAAACUGCAGUGUGACGAAACCUCCGCAAACCGUCAAAACGGCCCCUAGUAUUGAUGACCGAGACUUAUUAUUUGUAUCUGUUUACGAUUGUGAAUCUUGGUUAAAGUUAUGAUUAGGUCCCUUUAUAUAUAUGUUUUUAAUUUAAAUGCAUAAUAAUUACGCAUAUUCAUGAUUCAAACUUUGUAUGUAGUCUAUUUAUGCUUUGUGAAAGAAUGUGAAAAAUAAAAUAGCUCGAUUACAUUUCUUACAAAAAAACUGUUGUUCUAUGUAUACCUAAUGUUUCAGAUCAAAUGACAACCUCCCAGGGAGAUCAUCAUGCACUGGCGAGAGUCAGGAUCACAGAACAUGAAAAUUAUCAUGAAGAAGGAAUUUUCCUCUUCAGAUAUUGAGAGAAUUAUUGACAUUUUCAAGAGUAAAAAGAGUUCUAAAGCUGUUAAGUCCAGAACAUGUCUGAGUUAUGUGCCCUUGAAAUGUUCUAUGUUUAUAAAUGUUAUUCCUGUGGUAAAGAAGUUUUGGAACAAGGUAU